This 294-nucleotide ribosomal RNA is filed under the name uncultured bacterium. Its description in RNAcentral is "partial 16S ribosomal RNA". It matches the Rfam family "Bacterial small subunit ribosomal RNA", at positions 28 to 326 of the family's 1533-position model. The record is from RNAcentral.
GACGAACGCUGGCGGCGUGCUUAACACAUGCAAGUCGAGCGGUAAGGCCCUUUCGGGGGUACACGAGCGGCGAGCGGGUGAGUAACACGUGGGUGACCUGCCUUUAGCUCUGGGAUAAGCCUGGGAAACCGGGUCUAAUACCGGAUAUGACUCCGCGGCGCAUGUUGUGGGGUGGAAAGCCUUGUGCGGCUGGAGAUGGGCCCGCGGCCUAUCAGCUUGUUGGUGGGUGAGGGCCUACCAAGGCGACGACGGGUAGCCGGCCUGAGAGGCGACCGGCACACUGGGACUGAGACA